Molecule: long non-coding RNA, 7418 nt
Organism: Anopheles gambiae (African malaria mosquito)
Lineage: Eukaryota; Metazoa; Arthropoda; Insecta; Diptera; Culicidae
Exons: 2
Source: RefSeq, a predicted model, not a curated record
CCACUAGCAAAGCCGGUUCGUGUGCUCCCGUUCACUCCUACGGGCGACUAAGGGCACUGGCUGUAGAGCAGCAGCAACAGCAGCAGCCCGGGAGGGGGGAUACACAUUUGAAUUUGAAGAAGCACAUUUUCCUUCGGCGUUCCUCGGUAACAAAAGUCAGUUAUUGUUCAAAUUCACGCCGCGGCUCAUCUAAUGCAGUGGUGCGGUUCGCGCGGUCUAACGCUGCUGCCGCCCGUUUGCUGCUGGCUCAGUGUGUGUGUUUGUGUGUGUGUGUUGGGGUUUCGCGUGGAAGGACUGACUGGGCUGUGAUUUUCGCUAACCGGAGGAAAGAGUGUACGCGCGUGUGUUUUCGAAACCGGGCAGUUCAGUUGCUUGUCAGCUCUUCCAGCUGGAACAUCGCCCGGAAAUUGGGUAGUGAAAAAGUGUCGCCCAGUUUUGGGGGGCGAGUUUGUAUUGCCACGUUUUCAGAAGUUACGUUUCGGGGCAGGCCGAAGAAACAGAUGCGCGGCGGCAUGCACUCUCAGUUCAAUUGAAUUGGCUUUCCUGGAAAUUAAUAUCAAUUCCCUUUGCACGGAGAAGCGAUUCUUGUGCUCUGAACAUUUUGUGAUGAUUCGUGAUGGUCGCGCGCUCGCCGGUGGAUGAGAAAAGACACGAGGCUCACAUUAUUUCGUAGAACCACAGGCAAUGAAAAGAACAAAAGCCGCCCCUGGGGUGCAGACAACAGACAAGUGUGGUGUGCCAAAAAAACAGCGGCAGCAAUGGCUACUACAAUUCCGUUCCGCAAAAAACAAAAGAAACGUGUGCUGCUGCUCCCCAGCAGCGUUCAGUGUGUGCUGAAUAGAGAAGUGCGAAAGUAAGGAUACUCACAGGAGGAAGGGUAGAAGGUGCAGCAGGGAGUGUGCGGGUAGAGCGGGAGAGAGCGAAACCAUUUUGGUUUUGGCGCUGCGUUGGCAAUUUUGCGAUAAGAACGCGCGGCGAGUCCACACACACGCAACGCCCCGUCAUCGGCACACACAAACACACACACUUGGAGCACACGAUCCGCCGCGUGGUGUGGUCGUCGUCCCGGUUUUUUCCGCUCUGUGCUACAGUGCUCCCUCGACGGAAGAAGCACUUUAUCUCGUACUGUUCGCAAGUGUGCGUGGAUGUGUCGGUUUUUUUUUGCAGAGUUUCCUGCUUUGCACACGUGUUAAGAACUCGACAGUGCGUGGUGUGUGUGUGCGUGGCAUAAAAUGUGCGAAAACAAUAGGAUGCGAGGCUGGUCCUUUCCUUAACCUCACUUCGAUAUCACCCCGGGGAGAAAGAUCGUUGGCGUGUGGCGUGUGUGUGAUAAAACGAUAGAAAAAGAGGACACGAUUUGGGAUUGCGGGAUUGGGAGAGACUACACACAAGCUUAACGAGGCGCGCGCGCGCGCUCGUGGUUUUCGCGUAAUUCCGUAUAUGGUGUUCGGGGGGAUUUUUUUUUGGUUGGUCACACACCACCACGCCAUCACCACACAACCGGCCAAUGGUGUGUAAAACAAAAAAGAAAACUGUCAUAAUGCUUGAUCAUGCAGCAGCAGCAGCAGCAGCAGGAGGCACCAAAAGGGAAGCAGAGGCUCGUUUGUGUGUUCAAUCGAGUGUGCCGUGCCGUGCCGUGUGGGGAGCUUCCAUUCUUUGCGUCGUUGAAAUUCAAGUUUUUUUCUCUCACCCCCCUGCGCCGCCGUGUGUUUGUGAGUGCGCGCGUGAUUGUGUGUGCAACGGCGAAAUAUCCGAUCGAAGCAAGCGUGUGUGGUGGUGGUUUUGAAGGAGCAGUAGAAGGAGGCAGCAGCGCUCAUCCAGAACUUGCCACCAGGUCCAAACAGGGCAGGAGAUGAUACAGCAACAGCAACAACAGCAGCAGCAGCAGCAACAGCGCCAUAUCACAUUCCCUUUCUGGUUUUGUGCGAUUAGAAGGAGGUGACAUUUCUGCAGCGGAGAGUCUCGAUGACUCGAUCGGGCACAACCACACAUACGCACACACACACACACACACGCACACGCCCUUCCGUAAUCGAUACACCGUCCCCCGCACAUCCAAUGCUUCCCUCUGUGUGUGCUGAGGUGGUUGCUGCUGUUGCCCACAUUUGUGAGGAGUUUCCAUGGAAUUCCCUCCUCCCCAGCGCACUACGGAAGAAGCGACCCGUGGUUUGUGUGCUGCUGUUGCUGCUCUGCUGUUGUGUGCGAAAUCAGGCUCCUCUCAGUCGUCCUCGACCGUGGUGGCCACCACUCCUCUGGCGGGAUUGCCAGUGCGUUUUCCUCUCUGGGGUGUCUGUUCACAUCUUACCGGGCAGCAUUAGAUAUGUUAUCGGAUAUUUCUAAUACUGUCAGGUAAAGAUGUCGUCCGAGCCCAUGCUCAUCUUUCUUGUGUCUCUGUGUGUGUGUCUGUGUUUGGCGUGGAAGAAGUGAUCAUUUGUUUAGUAGUUGGCGGAACUCGGGGAACUGCCUCGUUCGAUCCGUAAUACCAGGCAAGUAUACACGGGAGCAGAUGUUUUGUGAGUAUUUAAUUAUCUUUUAAAUGCAACUCUUACACCAACCAUCAAAUCGUUCCCUUUUUGCAGCCUCCAAGCACUAACCGAAACAUUUGCUUUUAGGAACAAUAUCACGAGCAGGCAACAUAUUAUCGUAUGCCCCAAAAAAGGGGAAGAUCAAAUUGCCGCACGAAAAUAAACAUAAAAUUGUCAAGCCCAGUACUCUCCUACUCUGCUCCCUUGGCCGGGCGAUCGCACAGCAAUCAUCAUCGCAUCGUCGUACAACAUCCCAUCCACAAUAUCAUCUCCCCUGCCGGUGGCUGCUCUCUGCUGAUCAAAUAAUAUUGGUCUGAUGUGGGACAACACAGCAGCAGCAGCAGCAGUGUGUGUCUCAUGCCUGCCGCCGCCCCACGGCGAGAGAGAGAGAGAAACGAAGCAGACGAAGAAACGCACGAGCGCGCGCAUGCUGAGCAUAAUUGGUUAAAUUGAUAUGGUUUCCGAGGGCGGGCGGCGGAUUGCGGCGGGACAGCGUCGUCGUCGACGGUACCGUUGUAUGAUGACCGUCGCUGUGUCUCCUCCAUGGGAGGAUCAUGUCGCGUUUUUCGGUCCAAGUUUGGGAAAAUGUACACAUAUACACAGCAGCCGCUUAUCCUCGUUUAAGGGUGAGGUGGACCGUCCCGGGCGGAGCAACAUGACUGGCGACCUCAAAAGGGAGAAGAGAGGUUUCAAUAAUAUGCGUGCGCGCGGCAAUGGGCAAGUAAUGAGACACACACAAUGGGCAGAGGAGAAGAUGAAACACGGACACAAGGGGACUUGUGUUGUGCAAAGGAAAAUUGUUUCCUUCUGGAGAUAGUUUUGUACACACACACGCACACGGCGCACUUGACUCAAACCCGGGGGCUUUCUGUGUAAAUAGCCUUGAAUUAGCGUUGAAAGAGCAAUGUGCGCGAGAGGAGAGAAGUGUUAUCAUCAUCAUCGUGUAAAGUAUUAUUGCCAUCACCGGACUGAACGAUGCUUUGCUAAAUAAUAGGGCGCUUUUUAAAAUGAACACGUUUUCAACUGCAAACAACGAGUUGCUCUUUGUGUGUGUUCGGUGUUUGUUACGGAAAAAUUUUGGGGCGUAAAAUGCGUUAGGAGGAGGCAGUCGUGUGUGUGUGAAAUGCAAUAAUUUGCAGCCCACAGGCGCUGUGGUCGACCCUUUUGAAGUCGUCCCUCUCUAAUACCAACCAAUGCUGUUUGCUCUUCUAUACUUCCAAUUGGUCAUUUUUAUCACACAAGUUCCUCUAACUGGUACCGAUACGGGGUAACGAUGAUGCCGCAAGUGUACAAGUGUUGCCGAUGGGAAACCAGUUUUUGUUUGGGCGCGCUUGGAGCGUUCUACGUGAAUGCCUUGCAACCUAGCAACAAAAACACACGCCUCUCUGUCUCUCCCCUUAGCUGGUGGUUGUUGUUGUUGGCGGCGAUCGAACAUUCGAUCGAGCAAAGAGAUGAGAUGAUUUGCUUGCAUCUUCUCCUCUCCCUACGUAAUUCCGUCCCAUCAUAAAGCACAGGAACACACCUUAGCAAACAACAAACUCUCGUUGAACCCCCCGAACCGUUUUCGCGCAUGCAUGAGUGCAAUUUGGAGCCGUCGCGUGUGUGUGUCUUUUAAAAAUGAGAAAACAAUACGAUGAGAGAUGAUCAAGCAGUAGUGUACUGCCGCGCGUCCUUCGAAUGCUGUUGGGCCUUUUUUUUUGGUCUCUAAACGAGAGCCCCGCAGGUGUUAAUUACGGUCAGGAAAGUGACCCCCUUCACCGCCACUGUGUACGUCUAUGUAAAUUCAAGGCAAGAAGUGACCUUUACCGUUAACGACGAUCGAUCGUUACGAUCGAAAGUGAAUGGGUGCUCAAUUUGGUGCGUGGCAGGAAGGGUCAAGCAGUGGCCAUCUUUCCAAUUAGCUAAACUAAGUAAAAAACAUUAUUUUAAAAAAAUCGACUAUGAGCGAAAUUGCUUACGGCUUGAUCGUUUUUGGGUUAACGGCAGUGCUGUUGUGAGCCCCUUUGAACGCGUGCACGCUCCUCGACCCUGAUCUUCGGAAGGUGGUGAUCUUCGCUUUUCAGCAGAUCAAUCACCUUUCCCUCCAAAAUGUGAUAUGCGAUAUGAUGACGCUCCCCCCCCCCCCCCCCCCCCCCACUGGGGAGGUUUGUCAGAUUUCAAAUCAAAGAAAAAUGCUUUCCCCUGCUCGCUAAAAAGGGGUCAUGACUUUGGCCGUCACAUUGUGUCGCGCACUUGAGCUCCCAGAAUUUCUGAAAAUCUUAUGUCUCGACGUCGGCGGGUGGGGUCGCGUUUAGAAAACACAAGAACGAGUCCGAGUCCGAGUUUGUGUGUGCUGUGUGUGUGUAGAGGAGUACACAUUACAUUGACGAUGGAUGAUGCGAUGGCGGCGGUGGCAUGUGUAUUGUUUACAUAUUCUCCGCAGCUUUAAGACAUCGGCACAAACCCAAGGAAUCUAAAUGCCCUUUUUUUGUUUCGUUUUCUUUCUUAUUUUAGAACCAAAGUUCGGACAAGCACGGAACGGAAAAUGGAUACAAAAAAAAAUGUAAAACAAUAUGCCAGGGACACAUACACACACCGACAAGAAACGAAGCAAUCUUUUUCCUUAUCGUCGCAGUACCGACAACGGAUGGACCAUCAUGUACGCACGGGGGACACUGUCCCUCUCUCACGACUCUCGCUAAGGCCACCGCGAAGGAUUUAUUUAUCAGCGAUAAUUCUCGGUGUGCGCCAGAUGAUGCGUCUUUCCGCCUCUGUGCCUUGCAUCUUAGCUACCUCCUCCUCCGGGUUUUGUACAAAGCAAAUUGAACAACAACGUCGGACGGAAGUCGGAUGAGGGAUCGGCGUGAUCGCGAGCAUGUAUCGUGUGUGGUGGUGUGUGCAGUGCAGACAACACAAGCCACUCAGUGGCACGCAGCAGGGCGACGAGGUGGACACGAGGAUUUAUUGUUUUAUGGCACCCAUAAAUGUUAGGAAAAAGUUUUUGUCAGAACAACAUAGCGCAAACGACGAGACGACACCAAUGAUGAUGAGGAUGACGGUAUGCUCCUAGGCGGGUCAGUUGGCAAACACACAAACCGGCGAAAACGCAUGCGAUUCUGUAGUCGUAGCAGGCAGGAAAUUGAAAGAGAAAGCCAACGUUGUGGGGGAAAAGUUUUAGACGCGGCAAGUAAUGUUAGUUAGAUGGGAAGACACAUGGCGCAAAUGGCGGCGGCGCGCACAUGGCGAUACGCAAGAAGAUGCGCGGUCGAUUGACCGUUGCGUGUACAAGCAACGGGAAACGGGAAAAGUAGGAAAAGAAGCGAGAAACGCCUUAUCACAUUUAUAUACUCCGCUGACCCCGGCCGGUGAUGGAGAGGGGUGGGGGGUUUGAAUCCGUUCCGGCGGUUUGAGCACGCGCGCAGACGCGAAAUUCGUUGGCGGAGGAGCAGGUCUGAUGUGGACAUGUGGACGCGUGCCAGUGAAAUGUAUGGUUGGGUGUGUGUGUGUGUGUUGCUACCCUCUUCCCCUUUCCUCAACACUCUUUCCGGUAUGGAUAUUCCGGUCGCGUUUCGUCUCGCGCUCGCAUUUUUGAACAUUGGUUUGGAUGGAUUUUGGAGCCGGCCAAAGGAGGAGGAGGAGGAUUAACGAAAUUAUCACAGACAGAUCAGUUUCGCCUCCCAUCACACCACACAGACGGCAAGGGGGUGUAAUAAAAGCAGGCUUUAAAAUACAAACGAAUUAAGUUGUCAUACAGUCGUCGGAGGUCGUGACAGUCGACCGAUCGCGAGAGAGAGUGUGUAUUUGCUUUCUCAUCGCAAGAAAGAUUGUUUUUGUUAAAUAUUAUCUUUUGCUUUUCAUAAAUAAUUAAAAGCUACAGAUGCGCGGAGAGUAAAACACAUAAAAACUGUGAUUAAAUUUAGGAGGCGGACAAAGCAUGACAGCAUCAAUAAGUUAUUGAGAAUAUAACUCCACGUCGAGCCAAUCCGGGCCUUAAACGUACAGCGCUCAGCUCGAAGAAAGUGAAACACAAUACCACUUGUUGUCGUUUGACGACGAUCAAUGAAUUUGUUACGAAUGAAAGCAUCUAUCGAUCGACUGGCACUACUUUUGCCCCGCCAACACAUCACCCCGGUCGAUUAGAUACGGUACAUUAGAGCCGAUGGUGGCGAUGAAGAUCCAUCCAUGCAGCCAGCACCAAUAGCAACAGCAGCAGUUCGUUCGUUCUGUCUGUCCCGCGUGGUAAACACAUGUUUUUCGGGUUUAUUUUCCCGGGGUGUCCGCUCCAGGGGGGCGUUCUGGUACUAGCGGGAUAUAUACACACAUAUCUAUUUGAACAGAUUGCCCCAUAUGUGUGGGGUUGUGUGUGCAGUGUGUUGUGCCAUCCCCCGUCACAAUCAUCAUCAUCAUCGUCAUGAUGAUCAUCACAGUCACCAGCGUGUUUCGUGGCCAAUGUCUCGUGUGUCUGCGUUAGGAAAGUCUGUUGAGCUGAGCUGUAGGUAUGUUUGAAAAUGCUGUCGAAAUUCAAGAAAGAAGACGGUUUUUAAGAUGUGUUAUAAGGCUUAGGUUUGUUGGUUUAUUCGAUUCGCCACACGGUAUUACUACUACUGCUACUGACUGACUGUGUGUAGUUGUAGUUUAAACGCUUUGUCGAAUGGUGACUGCCGUUUCGUCGAUAAAAAGUAAGGGCAACACGUGUUCCGUAUCUGUGUUUGCAUUAGGAGGAGAGGGUACACGAAAAGGCGAAAAAGGCAGGGUAAUGUGAAGAAAAUUGCCACACAAGCAUUUUUAUUAGGGUCUUUAGUGGCGAUAGCAGUCAGGGUUUAAAUGUGGCUCAAGUAAUUUUAAUGUGGUUUAGAGAUCAGUGUAUGGCGAUUUUUUUAACAACAAAUAAACGAUAAAAAUGGAAAAAAUAAA